CCUACGGGUGGCAGCAGUGGGGAAUAUUGGGCAAUGGGCGCAAGCCUGACCCAGCAACGCCGCGUGAAGGAAGAAGGCUUUCGGGUUGUAAACUUCUUUUAAGGGGGAAGCGGAGAAGACGGUACCCCUUGAAUAAGCCACGGCUAACUACGUGCCAGCAGCCGCGGUAAUACGUAGGUGGCAAGCGUUGUCCGGAUUUACUGGGUGUAAAGGGCGUGCAGCCGGGAGGACAAGGCAGAUGUGAACUCCAGCGGCCCAACCGCGGAACUGCCUUUGAAACUGUUUUUCUUGAGUACCGGAGAGGUCAUCGGAAUGCCUUGUGUAGCGGUGAAAUGCGUAGAUAUAAGGCAGAACACCAGUGGCGAAGGCGGAUGACUGGACGGCAACUGACGGUGAGGCGCGAAAGCGUGGGGAGCAAACAGGAUUAGAUACCCCUGUAGUC
Molecule: ribosomal RNA, 442 nt
Filed under: uncultured bacterium
Lineage: Bacteria
Description: partial 16S ribosomal RNA
Rfam family: Bacterial small subunit ribosomal RNA
Source: RNAcentral